GGCAGCGUCCCACAUAGCACAACUAGAAGGACCUGCAACUAGAAUAUGCAACUAUGUACUGGAGGGAUUUGGGGAGAAGAAGAAGAAGAAAAAGAUUGGCAACAGAUGUUAGCUCAGAUUGAUGCAGAUGAGCACAGCAUGACCUUGAGAGCUACGUUUAAAAGGACAGAGCCAUGACAGGGAGGAGCCUGGAUCACCACUUAGAGGAGAGAAGGGAGCUCAGCAGGAGCACCCAGGAACAAGAAUAGAUGUCUCUGGAUUAUAAUAUUCAGAAGCAGGAGAGGAUUCUUUUAUUGGAUCAUAUGUCAUGAUUGUGGGCUCAGAAAACCAGGCCUGUGGGAAUUAUGGAGCCUUUGAUGGUUUGCCCCAAGCUUCUGUCUUUGAAUAAAGGAACCCACAUUUCACAGCCUAGAGGUUGAGAGAAGACCCCCAUACUGCACCCCAGGCCUCUCCCCAACCUCAUUCUCCAAAAAACCCAGCCAGACCUUGCUCACCUCAUAAAAGCUGAUGAAAGACAGACACCUCUCACUGGUGACAUUUUGUAUUUUAUCUUAACUGAAGAAUUUUUCAGUGAAAAUGGAUUUAUCUCCCUACUAAUUUUGGAAAGUCACCAGGAAAUAAAACGUUGAUUACCUGAACAAUUGUACCUAAUUGUUUGCACCAUCAAUAUGACACUAACAUUACUUCAAAACUUAAGGUAUUACAGGACCAAUAAAGGGAACAACGUAUGAUCUCUAAUGAUCCAGUAAAAAUGAUGCAAAUAUUGCAACAGGAGGGAGCUGAGUAACAUUCAUGUUUCCCUGCCACCAGAGCGAGCGUUGAAGAGACCAAGAAAAAGUCGAGGAAAUUAUUUAGAAUUGGUGUGUUAAAAGUUAACGACUUCAAGCAAGCCUUUUAAAAGCGCUCCACCACC
Molecule: long non-coding RNA, 913 nt
Filed under: Equus caballus (horse)
Lineage: Eukaryota; Metazoa; Chordata; Mammalia; Perissodactyla; Equidae
Description: lncRNA (ENSECAG00000059282.1)
Source: RNAcentral